CCUACGGGUGGCUGCAGUGAGGAAUAUUGGUCAAUGGACGAGAGUCUGAACCAGCCAAGUAGCGUGAAGGAUGACUGCCCUAUGGGUUGUAAACUUCUUUUAUAAAGGAAUAAAACGAGGCACGUGUGCCUUUUUGCAUGUACUUUAUGAAUAAGGAUCGGCUAACUCCGUGCCAGCAGCCGCGGUAAUACGGAGGAUCCGAGCGUUAUCCGGAUUUAUUGGGUUUAAAGGGAGCGUAGAUGGGUUGUUAAGUCAGUUGUGAAAGUUUGCGGCUCAACCGUAAAAUUGCAAUUGAUACUGGCAGCCUUGAGUACAGUUGAGGUAGGCGGAAUUCGUGGUGUAGCGGUGAAAUGCUUAGAUAUCACGCAGAACCCCGAUUGCGAAGGCAGCUUACUAAACUGUGACUGACAUUGAUGCUCGAAAGUGUGGGGAUCAAACAGGAUUAGAUACCCUGGUAGUC
RNAcentral lists this ribosomal RNA (460 nucleotides) under uncultured bacterium. RNAcentral describes it as "partial 16S ribosomal RNA". It matches the Rfam family "Bacterial small subunit ribosomal RNA", at positions 338 to 795 of the family's 1533-position model. The record is from RNAcentral.